GACGGAGGAGGCAAGCGUUAUCCGGAAUUAUUGGGCGUAAAGGGUACGAAGGCGGCUGGUCAAGUCGGGGGUCAAAGGCCACAGCUCAACUGUGGGAAGGCCCUGGAAACUGACCGGCUAGAGUGAGGUAGGGGUUGCGGGAAUUCCCGGUGUAGCGGUGAAAUGCGUAGAGAUCGGGAAGAACACCUGAGGCGGAAGCUCGCAACUGGGCCUCAACUGACGCUUCGUUGCGAAAGCGAGGGGAGCCAAUGGC
Molecule: ribosomal RNA, 253 nt
Filed under: uncultured bacterium
Lineage: Bacteria
Description: partial 16S ribosomal RNA
Rfam family: Bacterial small subunit ribosomal RNA
Source: RNAcentral